AUGCAAGUCGAGCGGGAUUUCUUUUGGUAGCAAUACCGAAGGAAAUUCAGCGGCGAACGGGUGCGUAACACGUGGGCAAUCUGUCUUAAAGUGGGGGAUAGCUCGGCGAAAGCCGAAUUAAUACCGCAUGUGAUCAGGGAAGACAUCUUUCCGAAAUCAAAGGUGGCGCAAGCUACCGCUUUUUGAGGGGCCCGCGGCCUAUCAGCUUGUUGGUGAGGUAACGGCUCACCAAGGCGUUGACGGGUAGCUGGUCUGAGAGGACGACCAGUCACACUGGGACUGAGACACGGCCCAGACACCUACGGGUGGCAGCAGUCGAGAAUUUUUGACAAUGGGGGAAACCCUGAUCGAGCGACGCCGCGUGGAGGAUGAAGGUCUUCGGGUUGUAAACUCCUGUCAUUUGGGAACAAGGCGCGUGUAUUAACUGUGCACGCGUUGAUAGUACCAGAAGAGGAAGAGACGGCUAACUCUGUGCCAGCAGCCGCGGUAAUACAGAGGUCUCAAGCGUUGUUCGGAUUCAUUGGGCGUAAAGGGUGUGUAGGUGGCGCCGUAAGUCGGGUGUGGAAUUUCGGAGCUUAACUCCGAAACUGCAUUCGAUACUGCGGUGCUUGAGGACUGGAGAGGAGACUGGAAUUUACGGUGUAGCAGUGAA
RNAcentral lists this ribosomal RNA (652 nucleotides) under uncultured soil bacterium. RNAcentral describes it as "bacterial SSU rRNA". It matches the Rfam family "Bacterial small subunit ribosomal RNA", at positions 55 to 685 of the family's 1533-position model. The record is from RNAcentral.